GUUCCCAUCGUCUAGAGGCCUAGGACAUCGGAUUCUCAUUCCGACAACGCGGGUUCGACUCCCGCUGGGAACGCCA
Molecule: transfer RNA, 76 nt
Filed under: Rickettsiales bacterium
Lineage: Bacteria; Pseudomonadati; Pseudomonadota; Alphaproteobacteria; Rickettsiales
Description: tRNA-Glu
Rfam family: tRNA
About the family: Transfer RNA (tRNA) molecules are approximately 80 nucleotides in length. Their secondary structure includes four short double-helical elements and three loops (D, anti-codon, and T loops).
Source: RNAcentral